UACGGGGGGGGCAAGCGUUGUUCGGAAUUACUGGGCGUAAAGGGCUCGUAGGCGGCCAACUAAGUCAUACGUGAAAUCCCUCGGCUUAACCGGGGAACUGCGUCUGAUACUGGAUGGCUUGAGAUUGGGAGAGGGAUGCGGAAUUCCAGGUGUAGCGGUGAAAUGCGUAGAUAUCUGGAGGAACACCGGUGGCGUAGGCGGCAUCCUGGACCGGCAUUGACGCUGAGGCGCGAAAGCCAGGGGAGCAAACGGG
This 253-nucleotide ribosomal RNA is filed under the name uncultured bacterium. Its description in RNAcentral is "partial 16S ribosomal RNA". It matches the Rfam family "Bacterial small subunit ribosomal RNA", at positions 524 to 776 of the family's 1533-position model. The record is from RNAcentral.